This is a non-coding RNA of Taeniopygia guttata (zebra finch), 18682 nucleotides long. NCBI's taxonomy places the organism in Eukaryota, Metazoa, Chordata, Aves, Passeriformes, Estrildidae. The record is from RefSeq and is a predicted model, not a curated record.
AAGCAUUUAUGUAACUGGGGAGGGAGGGGGAGGUGAGUGCGCGCUGACUUUGGGGAAGUUCAGUCUACAAAAACAAACCUCACUAACUAGGCUUGGUUCUGAUUAAGGAAGAUAAAUCUGUCAGUGAGGAGCUAAAUUUACCGCGAGCGUAACCCCCUGCCCCUCGCCCCACCAGUGAUGGGCAGGCUGAGUUUAUUUCUGUUGGGCGAGCUCCAGAAAGCGCCGGGAGGUGAAAAACAAUCCCCAGAAAUGUGAAAAAUGUGGAAUGAAGUGGGGGCGGCAGGAGGAAAAGUGGGGGGAGCGCGGAGAGAGCGACCAAUAGCAGCACGGUGGGUGCGAUCCCAACUCCGCUGCUGCAAUAAAAAAUGCCGAGAUGCUCAAAGCUGAUGGGGAGCGGCUGGGAAGGGGCUCAGCCUGGAGCAAAGGAGGCUCAGGGGGGACCCUGAGGCUCUGCACAGCUCCUGCUCAGGGAACAGCGACAGGAGGAGAGGAAAUGACCUCAAAUGGCAUCAGGGAAGGUUCAGGUUCCUUCCAAUGCAAAACAUCCUGCGAUCCAUUAUCCUGAGGAGGGUGACAGCUUUGGCAUGCCAUCGCUGGCGGCUCAUGGGCUGUAGCCAUCCCUCUCUGGCCUACAGGAUGCAAAUGUGCUUCAGAUUUGGUUCAACCCAUCAACCCAAAUCCCUCAUUAUACUGAUGAAUCAAAUAGUCACUGUCACCCACUGCCCAUGAACCAGGAGACCCCCUAAGUUCUGGGUUUAGCCCUCUAAAACCAUGCUUUCAUGGAAGAAGUGCCAGGAGAGGAGAAAAAACUCGCUUGCAUGGUUGUUGACAAACAGAGACUUCUCACUUCCCAGUUUUUGCUCUUGAAACUGGUUGAACUGCCUGAGCCCUCCUGAGUUUUGGGGGUAUCCAAGCUGAGGAAGCCAUCCUGAAGCUACAAGGAAGGUUUGGCUCCAGGAGAGCCCAUCACACCUUGCUGAACUGCUGCAGGACAUGGUUUAUGACAGCCACCGUGGCACUGUGGCAUGUAAACCCCACCAUUCUGGAGAUUCAGCAGGAAGAGCCCCAAGGAGAUGUCAAACAAACAAACAAACAAAGAACUGGGUCCUGCUGCUCCGCUGGUGUGAAUGGAUUGGCUGGAGCCAGGUGGAUUCCUGCCAGGUGAGGCUCAGGCUCUGCUGCAUCCCUGUGCUGCCCUGCUCAGCAGCCUUGGCUCUCUCUGCCAGUCUGUGCAGCAAGGACAUGUUUUUAUAUCAGGCUUUGCAGCUGCCAAAACAAACCCAGUCUCAGAUGCAGCCCCAAAACAUUAACAACAUUGGCAUGAACUCCGGCGGCUGCAUUUCCUCCCAGAGCCCGAGCUGGACCUUGAUAAGCCUGAUUGCUUUGUCACUCAACUCUGCCUCCUCCUUAAUGAGCCUUCCCUGAAACGCCGGGGCUGCCUUCCCGGCGGAGGGAGAGCAGGGCAGCUGUGCUAGUGGCUGUCCUUGGAGAACUUUGUGCAGGGAAAGCUGCUCCCACCCAUGGCAGGAGGAGAGACAGGCAGGUCCAGACCUUGCCUGCAAAGGGAGGGCUCCUGGAGCUCCUUUGUCGUAGAAACAAAGAACUACUGAAUGCUUUGGGUUGGGAGGGACUUCAAAGUCCAUCUCAUUCUCAUUCUGCCCUUGCCAUAGGAAGGGACACCUCCCACUACCCCAAGCCUCAGUAUCCAGUCUGGCUUUGGACACUUCCAGAGAUCCAGGGACAGCCACCGCUGCUCUGGGCAGUGCCAGUAACUUACCACCCUUACAAGGGACAAUUUCUUCCCAAAAUCCAAUUUAAGUUGCUCCCUUUCAAUCUGAAGCCAUUAUGCAGUGUUUAAAGUCAUGAUACAUGUACUCCCUUAUUUUCCUUCUUCCCUGGCAAAACCAAUUGGAUUAACAUGUAAAAAUUAUUUAAAAUCCAGCCUUUGCACUGGUGUCUUCUCAGGCAAGGUCAAGAGGUGUGAAGGUGCUGCUGCUACUAUUCCCUGAGUGGAUGGCUCUUCAUUUCCCAGAUUGGCAGGACAGGGUGUGUGGUAAAACAGGGUCUCCUCACUAAUCACACCAGUGCCUGCACUCCUGUGGGCUGCAAGGGCUCCUCGGGGUCAGUCCGUGGUGUCUGGGUCUCCAAGAGCAGCUCUGAUGCUGAGGGCUGGACAAGGCAGCUGUCAUCCAAGCUGGCUAUGAGGGAACCCUACAGGAGCAGCCUCUCUUCGGGGACAGCCAAUGCCCUGAGAUGUCUCAAAUGGCAGGGAAUGAGGGGGGGCUGUGCUGCCAUCCCUUGUGCCAGGGUAGUGAGGAAGCUCUGAUGAUUGACCCUGUCACCUUCUGCAGCCUGUGGGGUGGUUUGUGUGGUCGCCUCUCUGGAGCUGGCACGGUGCUCCACCCCGAGCAUCCCUCCUGUCCCCUUCUGCCGGGUGCAGCCUGACAAACGAGCUGCUGCCACCCCGAGCAGAUGUGGGGGAGAAGGGAGCCCCAGCCAGCCCGCAGCAGCCUCGGCCGCUGGCAGGGCUGUGCGGCCCCUGCCCCGGCUGCUCUCCUGCAGAGCUUGGCUCCAGCAGCACCUCCCUGAUCCUUCACCAGCUCCCUGCCCCACGCCUACGCCGGGGCUUGGCCUGGGCUGCUCUGCCAUCCCGGGAUCUUCUCCCCCGGCAAAAGGCUGCAAAGGACAGUGUGGUGUCCCCUGGGCUCAGGGAUUGUCCCAGGUAUCUGCUGAGAGAGAUGGGCAGGUGAUUUUCCACCUCCACCCUCGUGGCAUGUGGAUAAAAUUAGGGAUGAGGGGAGACUGGAAGGGAAACAGUGCAUUUUGGCAGGGAUAAAUGAGUAUACUGAAAGGGAAAGGGAGGGAGGAGAAGCUCGGCCCUUCUCACUGCUCCCUUGCAGAUGGAAUAAGAUGUCCAGUGUCCCCCAGUACCAAAUGGUCUCAAUUUGCUCCUGCGUCAGAGGGAGCUGGUUCUGCCUUGGUUGGGGCCUUGGUGGGGCCGUGAGGAUGUGUUUCAUAACUGCAGCUCUUGUGAGGAACAACAACAACAACCACAGCUUCAAAAACCUGUUGAAAUUGUGCUAUGCCCUGAACAGAAAACACAUGGGAAGAGAGAAAACUCCCUGCACAGAAAAGCCAAUGUAAUUAGCCCUGACAGGAUCUGCAGACUAGCAGCAGCAGCCGAGAGGCGGGAGGGGAGGGAAAAACAACCCAACAUCAUUUUAUAGGCAAAUGUAAAUGGGUCAUUAGCUGUCUUAGAACAAAAUGUUCCUUCCUGGGGAAGGCAGGGGACAGGCCUGGCUGGAGGAAAUGUUGCAGAAGGCCUGGCGAGGCUUCCUGUGAAAGCAGCUUUGCUGGGAUGCUGGAUGAAAAGGCUCUUGCUCUCACUGGAAGCAGAGCUCCUGAGAUUUUUGCCUUCCAGCAGGGUUAGGGUGGCAGGACACAGGUUCCUGUGGUACCUAAAGUCAGCUCUGAGCCUCUCAAGGUCACCUUCUCCAUCAGCAGAAGCAUCACCCUGCUCCAGGGUCUCCGGAACAGUUCCAAGCUGAAGGUUUUCCAGCUUAGGGAAAGUCCUGUGCCAGGUGCUGCACAGUCAUUGGGGAAGGCACAGAGUCCUCUCCAGGUGUGAGAGCUCAGCUGCAAGAAUGAGGGCAGUGGGAAGAAGAGGAGCAUUGCCUGCAGACCUUGUCCAGGAUCAAAUUCCACCCAAAUGAGAGAAUCACAGAAUCGUUUGGGUUGGAAGGGAGCUCAAAGCUCAUCCUGUGCCACUCCCUGCCAUGGGCAGGGACACAUUCCACUGUCCCAGGCUCCUCCAAGCCCCAUCCAAGCUGGCCUUGGACACUUGCAGGGAUCCAGGGGCAGCCACAGCUUCUCUGGGAAGCUUCCUCUGCAGAGAAGAAUUUCUGCCUGAGAGAACUGAACUCCUUGCAGUCCCAAGGGUUACUCCUGAAGCUCCCUGCAGAUGUUGCAUUUGCCACUUUAAAUUAUUUUGAUCCAAACCAAACAGCAAAAAUUGAAAAAAUUUUCCUGUUUGGGCUCCAUCAGAGGUCUCAGAUGAUUUACAGUUUGAUCCUGGCAGAUGAUUUCUAUUAUUUCCACCUUGGCUUCAGCCAGUUCAGGUCUUGGGUGACCCCUUUGAAUGACCACAGACUGCAAUGAGCCUUUGUGCGUGGGAUGUGCUUAGCAGCAAAGGAUGGGAUGCGCUUGAGGGGCUGGAGCACAGCUGGCAGGGAGAGGGGUUUUGUGAGACAACAACAAACCCUUCUUUUUGAUUGGAGUGUUUGUUCCUGGUCUCCCUGUGGAAGGUCUGAAAGCUCCAGUUGACUUCUUCUCCCAGAAGGGUGCAACAGCUGGAUCCAGGUCACUACCUCCUGUGGACCCUCUCUUAAUAAAUUCUUAAUUGACUCUUAAUACUCUGUAUGUUACUCAGCAGUGUUGUCACCAGGCUGUUUGCAAACCCCUGGCUCUGAGAACCUGUGGAGAGGGGUGGGGCAGAGCUCCCCUUUGUCAUGGCCAAGGGGAAGCAUCUGAAAUUUAGAGUAGGGAUAAAAUGAUCCCUCAGCAUUCCUGCACAAUGACAAACAGCAGAGUGGCAGAUGCCAAGCCUGGGUCUCUCUGUUUGACAGGCCAGACUGGGCCAGCACAAGACCCAAAUCCACAGCAGCCGGGAUGAAAAGUUUCCUGGACAGCUUUGUUAGCAUCCCGGCACUCAGUGAAGAACCUGGAUGCUUCCUCAUAUCUGAAACUUUCUGGGAAAUCUCCUGUGCUCCUCUAUCCUUUGCCCCAUUCCUGAAAGUGUCCAAGGCCAGGUUGGAUGGGGUUUGGAGCAACCUGGAGUACUGGGAGGAGUUCCACCCCAUGGCAGGGGGCUGGAAUGUUAAGGUCCCUUCCCCAGCCUUUCUGGGAACAUCAGGUUGGAGAAGAGGUGACUCAGAGCAAUCUGCAUUCAGGGAAAUCUUGCAGUGGGGGUAUUGCUGUGCUGGAUGGAGAGAUCCUGCUGCUGAGCUUGGAGUCCUUAAUGCAGGGCUGGGAAUUUAUCAGGGGUCUCUGGGAAUCAGGGACUGGGAUCCAAUGGCAGCUGGGAGGAUCUGAUGUAUAACUCAGGUAAGGUUUGCUGUGAAUGCCGGGAAACGUCCCUUUGUGUGUCCUCUGUGGAAAGGAGAUCAAUGUGGGCACAGAGGUGCAGCCUGCUGGGGAGUACAAGUGUACAAGUCUCAGGCAGCCUUUGAAACCUUCCUUCACCUGCUUUUCUGAGUUCUUGAUGCCUGAAGAUCUCAUUUUGAACAGAGUGGUUUAGUUCUCCCUCAGCUCUUUCCUCACCUCUGUUUUUUGCCUGGGGCGAGGCUCUCUUGGACAGUGGACUGGGCUGCUCAUUCUUCCUGUAGGUGUCCCUUGGUGAAGGCUUCAUUUGAAGGCAGUGCUUCAGAGGCAUCUCUGAGCUUUUAAACCCAGAGAAAACUUUCAUGGCAUUACUUCCCAUGGGCCAGCUCUGUGUCUGGGGAAUCAGAGGGAAUGGCUGCACACGCUUGCAGCUGUGGGUGUUAAGAGAAGCUUCAUUUUUCAAAAGCCUAGAAAAAGGGAUCCUCAGAGCCACCCCCACGGAGGGUGCACGAUGCACCCUCCAAUUCUUCCCCUCAUUUUCAGGAGGGACAAGAGCUGUGAGCUGGUUGCAAACGGCAGCACUCAGUUUCUUCUCCCCUUCUUGACACAUCCAGGGACUGAGCUGCUACUUCCAGACACCAUGGUGUGACAAACCCACUGUAGCCUCUUUGUACUGACUGCACCUCACUGUGAGUAAAAUUCAGUUUAAAAACACAGUGGUGACGUUGUGCUCCAAGCAGGAUCCUGCCCCUCCUGAUCUGAAGAUUAGCCUGCUGAUAUUUUGCUCUUGGAGGGGAGGUUUCCAGGAUGCCAUCCCUCUGAGCCUGCCCACAUGAAUCUGUGGUGUUUUGCUCUUUGGACUACAAACUUCUAGGAAUUUGUAGGUGGAAAUCUGACUUUUGCUGGUGUUCUCAGAGCCUGGUGCUGGUGCUGCUCCAGCUGGGUUCCUCUAGCAUGGGAACCUUGAGUUUGUUAACAGCUCUAGAGUCAACUGGGGAGCAGCUAUUGUUCUCAGAGCUUCUCACAUAUGUAUCACUUCAAGGUUUCCUCCUUCCAUUCAAAGUAUUUGGGGAUAGAGGAAUGAGGGAAGCAAGCUGCCAGUGUCUAAUGCAUGUUUCUUGGAGCAAAAUGUAUUGGUUUAUUUUGUUUUAAACAGCUUAUUGCAAAUGGGGAGCAGCUGUGGAUUUUGCGAUGACUUUUUUUGUUUUAGUUUUUGGAAACGUGGGGUCAUCUCCCUAGUAUUCCAUAGCAUGCUUGCUAUAGACAAAAAAAAAAUCUAAUUUUGAAGAAUUUCAAAGCAGUUCUUUAGACUUAAUCAAAUUCUUAAUUCCCUGAUCUAUUAAAGCCUAUUCAGUAAUCAGCCUGAUGAGAAGGAAUGUGGAGUUUCCUCAGGGCUCCCUCUUGGCUUGCCCUUCUGAGGCUGAAAUUAAGGCAGCCCACAGUCCCAUGCAGCAGAUCCCUGAUGGGGUUUGGGUAUCCGAGUCCCAGUCCCAAACACAGCAUUCUCAGGCACAGGGUGGGAUUCUGGGCACUGCCCUCUAAAGGGCCAGGGGUUGGACUCCAUGAACCUGGUGGGUUCCUUCCACCCAGGAUCUUGUGAUUCUGUUAGAUGGGCUGAGAGGCUCCAUCCCCAGAGGCAUUCCAUUGUCCCAGUGUCUUGUUUGAGCCUUGAGCCACACCUGAGUGCCUGAUCUGAUCAUCUCUUUGCAUCUUCUCCAAGGAACCUGGCCAGGGAGGAUUUGGGGAGAUACUUAAUAGUGCUGUGUUUUGGGUUUAAGCGCUUUUCUCCCUAAGAGCAGAUGGAAGAAUUGUUCCUGUUUGGAUCUCCUGAGUGUGUUGUACAGCCUUGGUAUAAGGUCGAGGAGGGAGCAGAAUUUCAGGGGAAACAUGAGGUCAGUGAGGCUUUGGCUCCAGCCUGACAAUUAAUUUCACAGAAUCCCAGGGUGGUUUGUGUUGGAAGGGACCUUAAAGCUCAUCCAUUCCACCCCCUGCCAUGGGCAGGGACACCUUCCAGUGUCCCAGGGCGCUUCAAACUGGCCUUGGGCAGUGCCAGGGAUCCAGGGGCAGCCACAGCUUCUCUGGGCACCCUGUGCCAGGGCCUGCCCACCCUGCCAGGGAGCAACUCCUUCCCAAUAUCUAUCUUUAUUGCUGCCGGAGUGGCUGAGUUCCCUGUGUCUGUGUGUACAGGUGGCCCCGAGGCACAUGGAUUUCAGCACAGCUCCAUGGAUACAGACAUCCCGUAACAAAGGAGCAGGCCCCGAGUGUUUUGGGGAAGGGAGAUAAUAAUAAGCCAGUUUGGCACAGCUCUUUCCUAAGCCUGGCCAGUCAACCCUAACAAUGUAAACAGCUCUUUCGGGGUGAAAUGUUGCUUUUCAGUUUCACAAAUCUGCUGGCUGAGCUCUCUGCCAAGGAGUGGUGUGAAUGAGGUGCCCUAUAUUUUCUUUCUCGCCUGUCCUGCCCUUUUCCUGCAAAAAGGAGAUAGCUUCUGGCUCUGCAGGGCUGGUCUGCAGCCUGGGCAGCAUCAGUGGUGCUGUGCUCCGCUGUCAGAGCUGCCCUGAGCACGGAGGUGUGGGAGCCACGUCCAGAAGGCUCCUGCAAGGAUCCUCCUGCAAGGAUCUUCCUGCAAGGAUCCUCCUGCAAGGAUCCUCCGGGACUUGCGCCAGUUCUCCUGGGGAGCGGGGGGUAGGGUAGUUUCCUUCCUGGGGUUAGUGUCAGCCCUCAUGAAUCCUCUGCCACCUUCAGCUCUGCCUGCACUCCCCAGCUCCCGGCCCUGAAGUUUGGAAAUGCCGACUUCUAACUCCUGACCUCCCACACUACUCCAAUUCCAAGAAACAAUGCCCUAAAUGUGCUGGCAGUGACAGCUCGCUGAUUCCUACAGCAUGGCUUGUUAAAAGAUCUAAACCUACUAAUAGGAAUUGGCUUGAUAAAAGGGAUUUUUUUUUAACCUCCUCACUUAGCGUGAGGAGGUUAGUGUACACUUAGUGUAGCACAUGCAGCCCAGAGAAUCUAGAAAUUAAAUUGGCUUUUUGUCAAGCCUCCUGUAUGCAACAGCAAUGGGACCCCUGCAGUGCAGUGCAGUGUUUCCAAUUACAUUUUGGGGUAUGUUGCUAAUUUUUGGCACACAGAGAGAAGCAGGCCAGGCAAAUGGCAGGUGGCAGGCUGUUUUCAUAUUUCACUAGGAGCAUGGGGGAAGGGAGAGGGGAGAAGGAGCCGAGCUCUCUGCCAGGAAAUGUGACCUCGCAGAGUGUGAGCAGAAGAGUUUUGGCAUGUGGUGGAGGAUGGAGGGCUGGGCAGGCAUGGCUGAGCCAGUUUACAUCCCCUCCUGCUGGGAAUACGCACGCAGGGAAGCAGGGCUAGAAUAAACACGCUCCAGCAGCGACAGCCCCCAGGUCUGGAUCUGGGCACCUCUGGGCCGUGUGUGGCUGCAGCCCGGCUGCUCUGUGGGACAGCGCUGUCACCGUGCUCCGCCUCUGCCGCCCCGCGCCCGCUCCUCUGCCCCCAGCACAACAACAAAACUGGCUUUGCUUCACUCAUUUGUUCCCAGCACAGCUAAUGCAUUCAGCAUGGCACCGCUCUGCAGGGCCUGGGUGGCUUCUCAGAGCUGUUGCACAAUCUGGGUGUGCACUGAGGGCAGCAGCGGCCAGAAGCUGCUUCCCAGGACCUGCAUCUGUCCCAGGGUGGCUUUGCCCAUCAGGACAGAGGCCUAGAGGUGAGAAUUCUAGGGGUCAGACCACCGAAUUGUUUGGUUGGAAGGGACCUUAAAGCUCAUCUUGUCCCAAACCCCUGCCAUGGGCAGGGACACCUUCAACUAUUCCCAGGCUGCUCCAAGCCCCAGUGUCCAGCCUGGCCUUGGACACUGCCAGGGAUCCCUGGGCAGCCACAGCUGCUCUGGGCACCCUGUGCCAGGGCCUGCCCACCCUCCCAGGGAACAAUCCCUUCCCAAUAUCUCAUCUAAUACUUGCCCUCCUUCAGCUCAAAUCCAUUUGCCCCUGUGCCCAGAAAUGCUGCUGUGUGUGACAAGAGCAGUCAGAACUAGUCUGUGCUCACAGGGACCGGGGCAAAACAUCCACCUCAACCCAAGGGAAUGUUAGCCAGGAGAACUUUUUGGGAAAAAGCCUCAGGAGUCAGAAUGGAGGCCUCUAAAUGCUUAAUUUACACAUCAAAUCCAAAAAUAAAAUGGUGGACACCAUGAAAGAGGGUUGUGAGAGAUCUUAUUCCGGGUCUAUCUGGAGGUGUAUUUGUGCUGAAGCUUGCAGAUAUGGUUCUUGUAACAAUUACUGAAUGUUGUUCUGAUUGCUAAAUGUUGUCCUGAUACUGAAUUUUGUUCCACAGCAAUGAUUUCACUGGUAAAACCCAAAAUCCCCUCAUUUUGAAAAGACCGUAAGGUGAGACUGGAGACAGCAAACAAAAUUUCCAGUAGAGUAAAACACUGGUGAGCUGGGCAUGAUGUCAGGAAGCCCUUUUGUAGUGCUUUUUGUAGGGGGCUGGGCAUGCUGAAGGUUUAUUUCAAGUUGGCUUUGCUGCUGUGUGCUGAGAUCUAUUGGCAGAGGUAAAUGUGGAAACAUUACAGUGGGAAAAGACCUCCCUCUAAGAUCCUCGAGUCCAGCUAAGAACCAUCAUGGUGACAAAGUUAGUUCUGGCUGACAGAAGACUUUAAAUCUCCUUCAUUUACUCUUCCCAGUGGUGGAGGCACCCCCCCAAAAAAACCCAAAAACCCAAACAUCUCUGCUCCCCCAUCCCUCUGUCUGUUCAGACACUGCCAUUGCAUCCCAUCCUCCUCCUCCUCCCCCUGCUGCUGUUUUGCCGCAGGGAUGAGCCCAGAUAUUUUUGGCACCAGAGCUAAUGUUCUUGAAAUGCCUUUGAGCUGAUAGCAAGCCAGCCAGUCAGGGACUUGUGAGAUCCUCAGCGACCUUGUUUCAGAAGAAAAUUGUCAGGGUUUCAACCUGUUAAUUUGCUUUCUUGCAACCUGCCUGAAGGGCUUGGGAAGCAGGGCCCUGGUCCGCUGAAAUCCUGGCAGUGUGCUUUCAGGAGGAGGUGCUGCCUGAGGACAUGGGGAUGGAUAUGAGUGCUGGGCUGUGCUGCUGCUAAUGGCAGUGGGGUGAGUGCAUCACUACCCCUGUGUUAAGCACUUGCUGCUCACAUGGCUGAAAUCAGGUGGCAGCCGUCAACCAAUUUGCCAUCAGACCUUCUACACUGUGAUGGCUAAAUCUGUGCUUGGUAGCAGCAGAGGUGCUUUUCUGACUCCACCUGAGGGAUGCUGGAGGAGAAGAUGGGUUUGACAUUUUUAAGACAUCGUCUCCUGGUGCAGUGUUGCUUUUCUCACUGAACAUUUUUCCGGAGUGUGUAGCCUGGAUUCUCCUUGCUUCAUUGUAUGGAGACACAGAAUGUUUAGUGAUUAGGUCUGAAUUAGCCCCAGGACAAGGUGCCUCUCAACUGGAAACAGAUGUGCAUGAUGGAAGGGAGAAUGGCUUUGGGUUGAAAAGUACCUCAAAGCUCAUCCUGUUCCACCCCUUGCCACAGGCAGGGACACCUUUCACUCUCCCAGGGUGCUCCAAGCUCCAUCCACCUAGCCUUGGGCACUGCCAGGGAUCCAGGGUGUCCUAGGUUAUAAUAUUGGGGUGUAUUCCAUUACCACCUGGAGCUGCAAUCCCUUUCUUUCCUUAUCUCGUGGCUCAGAGAUAAGUCCCUCCGGGAGGACCUGCUCUUUUAGCCAUAUGACUGAUAAGAUCACAGCGUUCUAUUGUGAGAUGCUCCGCCCACAGGGAGGAGCCAAACGAAUGCCAUCAAGGAUGUAAGUGGGGUUGUACAAACAGCAAGUAAAUCCCCUCUUCCAAGAGGAACAGCUGAGACCUUCUCUGCACUGGACCUCCAGAGGGAAACUCCAUCAGUCUGCAGGACCACUGCUUGGACAGAACCAUAUCUACUACCACCGCCCCAGCCAGCGAGUGUCAGGCUGUAUCUCUGACUCUGUCAGUAGUUCUUCUUUUAUGCUAUUGUAUGUAUUUGGUUCUUUGUUCCCUUUUUCCUAAUAAAUUGUAUUUCUGACUUACAGCCUCUCACUGGUUGUGCUUUUCAAACCAGGACACAGGGUCAGCCACAGCUUCCCUGGGCAGAGAUUUCCUCUCUCUGACAGUGAGCAGGAUUAGGUUCUUUAAGACUGUCCACCCCAAGAAAGCCAGAUCCUUAUUCCUGCUGAAAGUUGUUCUAAACCCUGGAGCAAAGAUGAAAAAAGAAGUUCAGUGUGCACUUAUGGAAAUGUGAAGAGCACUGUUAGCCCCAGCACAGCUUCAAGUGUGCCUUGGGCUGAGACACAUCCUUUGUUCUCCUGCCUCCCUCCGACCUGUAGAGAGAGAUCUGACACCUUGUUAUCUUCUGCAAGCUGUCCCAGCUUGGUCUGUGCUCUUGGGGCCGCUGGAAUUCACCCAGGGCCCUCGGAAUGGGGAAGAUGCUUUAAAUGGGAAGCAUUUAAAUGCGGCUUUCAGCAUCUUUAUGCCCAAGCCCUUUCUAUUCCUGGAACAAAUCCAAAUAGCCCCACUCCUCCCAAGAGCCUGUGACACGACCUUGUGGCACAGGGGAGAUUGGGUUACACAUUUUCCUAGGGCUCCUAAUAUCAAUUUAAAAUAAAGGCAGGGCACUUAGAAACUUCGGUAGAACCAGCUUAUACCCCCCAUUCCUCCUCCUUGUGAAGAUCCUCGGUGUUAGGAUAGGAUGGAAAAAUGUUUCUCACCCCUUUUCCAUGGCUAGCAAACCUUUAACAAUUUCGCACAUCAAAGUGGAAACUGAGUAACUCCCCUACACGCAGCCUCCUUUUCUCGGUUUUGUUUUGUUGUUUGUUUUCCAAACUGGGAUUGAAAGUACGAAAGCUCCAGCUCAGCUGUCUGUAAAUGGUGUUCUGAUGUUUAUGUUGGCAUUUGAACCAAAACCGUCUUCCUUGGGAACCCCAGUGAGUUGCGGAGGGGAAUACACCCCUGGAAUGAUAAAAGCUAAGCACUUGCCCACUAAUAAAUUUAGGUGUUAAUGCCUUGUUUUUGUGCUGUUUGGUUGCCAUAGAGACGGGGCCGCCUGAACUAAUGAGUUUGUCGUGUGCAGUACACAUUUUCAAAUGCUCCAUUUCUCUUGUUACCUCUCUGCUUUUUUGUUUGUUUGUUUGUGUUUUUUGUUUUUUGGUUUUUUUUCAUCCCUAGGAGCACAUGAGUUUGGAAGUAAAGCCAUUCCAGGGUCCCAGGAAAGGGGGCUCACUGCAGGUUUUGCAGGGCUGCUGAGAGGUGCAGGAUGUGGUUUUAAAGAGAUUGUUACCCUGUUCUGUACACCACAGGCCAAGGGAUAACCGGGGGAUUGCUCAGGGCACCUUUUAGCCCAGGACUUUGUGGCACAGGCACCCAUUGCAUUCCUGCACAGACAGUUUCCAUUGCUGGGCCCAGGAUGGACGGGAUGUCUCACUGGGAGCCUCUGUUUGUGCACAGAACACUCACCGGGAGCAUUUCUCCUUGGAUGGACUGAAAAUAAACCACCACAAAUAGGUGGUUAUAGUUUGGAACAAUGAAUUCCCUUACACCCUCAAACAGGCUGCCCCUGCAUCCCUGGGAGUGUUUCAGGCCAGGCUGGACAAGGUUUGGAGCAACCUGGUCCAGUGGAAGGUGUCUCUGCCCAUAGCAGGGAGGAGAAUGGGAAGAGUUUUAAGGUUCUUUCCAAACCAUUCCACAAUUCCAACACCCUUCAAUGCUACCUGGGAGCUGUCAUUCAGGGAAAAUCACUCCAUGAAUCCAUGUGUACUCCUCCUGGGAAUUUGGACUUGGAUUCAGAUCUUUUCAUUCAGAGAUCACUGGAAAUCCUUGAGAGUUGAGGGUUUGGUUUUUGUUUGUUUUUUUUGUUUUGUUUUUGCGUGUGUGUUUGUGUCAGAACCUCCCCACUCACAGCACCAACCUGGAGUUCCCUUUAGAAAGGCCGAAAGAAUAGCAAAAUCCCAAAGCUCUGAACAAAUAUUUAUUUUUCAAAGCUUAAAUGCUUGGUGCCUGCCAAGCACUAAACUGAAAAGUUUGUUGCCAAAAUAUCCUUUUCCAAAAACCUUCUUUUAAAAGUUCCUCCUUGCAAAAGAAAGAAAAAGAGAGAGUCUUGCUCAAGCAAUUUUAGAGGAAUAGCUCUAAAAUAAGUGGCUUUCCCAGGAUCAAAGGCAGAGCCAUUUUGCUGAAGGUGAGAAUGGAGUGAACCAUGCAAGAGGACAAUUCUGGGUGCCAACAAUCUUGAAGUGUGCAUGUGCAGCUGGCUUUUGGUUUCCCACCUGAUCCUGCUGAAAUCAGUGAAAAACAGUGCUGGGUUAACAGUUGGACUCAAAGAUCUUCAAAGUCUUUUCCAACCUUAAUGAUUCUGUGACUCCUUUGAGCUGAGGAGAGCGCCAGGAUCUGUUUUAAUCCCCACUGGUUACUGCAGCCCUGGCUGGUGAGGGGGGAUGUGACACCCGUGGUCCAGGUGCCACAAGAAACUCCUGAUGCUGCCUCUCCCUCCCUGGGAUGUGAGCAAAUUUAUUUUGGACGCAGAGAGGAGAGGAAGACUGACUUGUCAGGAAACUUGGCUGGAGCUGUUUGAGCAAGGCUGACUGGAAAACAUCUGUGUGUGCACGGAGCAGAGACUGCACCCCUGCACUGCCAGGGUGGGCUGGCAGAAAAGCCCUUUUGCCUUUAUUUAUUUUACGUUUUUUUUUUUUAAGAAACAGAAAUACAAGACCUGAUUGGCAGCCUGGGAGGAGAAAUCUGAGGUACCUGAGGGCCUGGACUCAUGGGAGCAUCCCAAAACAAACACUCAGUCCCUCAAAAUGUUUAUUACCCCAACAAGUGCCAGUCCUUGUGAAGCUGGUUCAGAACAGAACUGCAGAGCAGGUGUUCAAAGGGUCAGGUGAGGAGAUCAGAAGUGACCUGCACUUAAAACCCCUCCCCUUUGUUAUGAAUGUAUAAAUAAAAUGAUGUAAACCCAAACUGCCCAGCCACGCCAAGACCUUUGCUUGGCAAAGCUUUUGCCUUACUUUUGAUGUUAGAUGAACAUCUAGCAAGAUUAAUUAAAGUUUAAUUAAUGUAAGUAGGGUAAAUGUGGUAGGUCAGCAGGCACAGCAGAUGUUAAAAUACUGUUGGCAAUAAUCAACCUGACCAAAAAAAAAAAAAAAAGGGGAAAAUUCCCUUCUUAAAAAAAUAAAUACCUCUAAGUGACUGGUUUAGACAUGUCAUCUCUCGAGGGUGGCUCUUUUUUUUUACUUUCUUUCCCCAGGCAAUACUGACCAACCAGUUGAGAGCAAAUCCUGUUUCUUCACAUCAGUGAAAAUUAAAAAAAAAUCUGUUUUGUCCUUUGCUGUGCUCUGGAAUUUUGCCCCAAACAUUUUCUGGAGUCUGGGCAUAUGCCACAGGGAGAUGUCUCACUGCUUUCUGCUCUUCUCUUCAGUUGAUAGCUACACAGUGAGAGCUGUGGUUGCACAGCCAGCUGAGUUUAUUAAAGAUCUGAUGAUAAUUUUUAAGGGCUUUCAGUGAGAUUCAGCAGUACAUCACCAGUCUGGCUGGCCACUAUUGCUUAGGAUGUCCUUGACAGCUAUGGGUGAUGUUUCCUGAACUUUGAAAUGAAAUUUGGAUGUGAUUUGGGUAUUUUGGCAUGCAGGUAUCUGUGUUUAUCUGUGGUAAUCCCUGCUUUUUGCCCUGUUGGGUGCUGGUGGGAGCACACUGGGCCAUCGAGCCCUGCGGAUGAGCCCUCGACCUGUUCUGGGAUGUGGUCCUGGAUCAGGAAUCCCACUCUGGCCACGAGGCUCUGGUAAGCCACAGCAUCUUGCAGUCAGCUCCAGCAAAGAUUUUCCAGCUUGUUUCUUAUUUUUAUCUGUCUCAAUUGGAUCAUCUCUAAAAAUAAUCUGCAAUGCAAGACACUGCAGUGCUGAAUUCCCCAGCGGAGCGAGGGGAAUGUGUCGAGAGGCUUCCUUGGAUCAAAGCCCCAGAGAGGGGCCAGAAGCAAGAGCCAGGCUAAAGUUCAGGAGUAUCCUUCAGAUCCAGAGAGUAGCAGCACAAAAAAAGCUGCUCUUCUCCUGAGGCUUUGUUGGAUAUUGGAAGAAGCUGCAGGGAAUGUGGAAUUCCCCUUGGGAUUGGAUAGUGGCUGGGAAAAUGGAGAGGAGCAGCAAGAAUUUAGGCCAAUGGUCUCAGACACAGCAGGCUCAGGCGGCUGCCCCCAGAAAUCAGUUUUCACUGUGUGUCAGACAAAAAUCCCAUUGCCCAGAGCCUGCUCCUAGAGCCUGCUGGAGCUUCCCUGUGGAGCCGCUGGCACUGAGCACUGAAAGCCUGGAAAAAUACACCAGCAAACUGCAAAUGAGGGUGAAUAUGUGUUUUUGGUUUGUUAGAGAAGUCUCAAAUGAAGGGAAAUCUCAGUUCUUGGAAACAGGGAAAGAAAGAUGCCGUUCUGGGCUUGGUGGAGGUCUUGUCCAAGUUUAGUGCUUCUAUGAUUGUAUGAAAUGGAUGGGGGACGGGCUCUAGGCUUUUCCAAAGUGUUCCUAAACCCAAGCACAAUGAGCUCCUCCUGCCAGCUGGAGCUACAGGCAGAUGUAUGCACUCACACAGCAGUUUCUGAGGAAUGCCGAUGGACAGGGAAUGGUGGGGAGCGAUGAGCUGACCUCUGGGGGGCUGCAAAGGCUUCAAAGCCAAAUGCAGAUGGGGAGAUGAAGCAGAGCCACGAAUGCAGUGGCUUCUGAAACAACAGGCCUGGCUCUCCCCUCGGGUCAGGGCUGCUGUGACUGCAGUGCAGGGCUCAGCAUGAGCUCCCCAGAGCCACAGCAGCCACUUCAUAGAGCAGGGCAUGGCACCUGGCCCUCCCUCAUCAGGACACUUCAGCAGACCUGGCUGGGACACUGGCCUCCAUUUCUUGCCCAGGCAUCACCACCUCUUUCCAUUUGGCUGCGGGAACAUUUAAGUAUUAUUAUUUUUAAACAGGGCAGUCUUGACAACAUAAACUGAUGCAUCCUUGUGGGCACAUGGGCAAGCUGAGGCAUUUUCUGUGAACACAGACUGCUGCUUUUUUAUCGCUGCUUAUUGUUGUCACCUGCCUCAAUCCCUGAUGGGGAGAGGGCUUUAUUUUUUUCCUUUUUGAAAAUGAGCUGUUUAGUCCUCUGGUUUCUAAGAUUAUAAGAAACUUUAAGCAAAGUUAAAGCUUUUAGGUAACAUUAAACAUUUGACUUUGAGCCAAGUAAACUUAGUUUUUUGAAAUCUAACUUAUGAAUACAAACUUUCAGUUUUGGAUUAGCCUAAACAAUUUUUUUCUUUUUUUCCAGGUGCUUUUUCUUCUUUCGCUUUGUAAAAAUGAAGGGGGAAAGCUCUGCCCUGGGGUAGUGCAGCUCCCUUUCCUGUUGUUCCAUCCUGUUGUUGGGAAGUGAGAGUGAAGGAUGAAGGAUGUCUGCAAGGACAGAACAAAAACCUGAGCCAGCCUGGUGGCAUGAAACCUGGAGGGAGGUGAGCAUCUGUGAUGGUGGGACAUCCAGGGAUGCAGAAUUCUGGGAUCUCUCCUCCUGUUUGGUGUCAUUGCCUGGAUGUGCUGCUGCUCUGGCUCUGCUGCGAUGCAUCUCAUCCUUUUUGGGACUGGGAACGUUCCACCUACAAAGCUUCUCCCAGGAGUCCUAGCAAACCUUUGAGCAGGCACUCAGCCCUCCCUCUCUGUGCUCAAGGGUUCCUGGAAGCCAGAACUGCUGGGGAGAGCUCGGGCAGGGCACUGUGAUCCUCCCACCCACGGAAUCAGGGCUGGUGAGUAGCAUCGAGGGCUGCGAUCUGUCAGAGGCACACCCUCUACUCGGAGCAAGAAAUGUCAAGGAGAAUUAGGGAGAUGACUGGAGGCUUGGGGUGCAAUGGGAAGCAACUGCUGUUCCUAGGCAGGUUGUGACUACUCAGCCUUGCUAGUCAGAUUUUGGGGGAUGCUCAGCUGGCUCUUGCUGUAGAGAGCUCGGCGUGCGUUUUGGUGACAGGGUCUGUCUUCCAGUGGGGAAGGAGAAUUCCCCUGAUUCAACGCCCAGAUAACUGGUUUUGUUGGUGGAAUGGGGGGAAAAGGCCAUUUGGGAAGCUGUGCAUCACCACUCUCUGCAGGUCAUUUGAAACACACAAGGCAAAGCUGAGUGCCCCCUGAGGGUGCCCAAACCCAGCCUUACCCCGGCAACCCUGCUGGCUGGGGGUGACCCUGAUGGGUCACCAAGCCGUGGGCACCUGGUCACUCUGAGCCUCAGCAUGUCAGUGCCAGCAGGAAACCCAACCACAUCCAGCACCAUCAUUCCAUCUUCAUCCAGCUGCCUUCAGCCCUGCCAUUCCCAAAGCACCUUUUUGAUCCCAAGAGGUGAUCAGGGAUCAGUCUUCGAGCUGAGGGAAGUGGGGAUCCUUCACACGAGGGAGGAUUUAAUUAGCAAAGGCACGUGUGAUUUUAUUUUUUUUUUUUCCACGUUUUGCUCCGUGGCAAUUCCAGCGAGGAAUAAAAGUUUACUUCCAUUCCCCAGUGCUGGGGAAAGCAGCUUCCGUCAGCACUGCCUGUGCUCUUGGCUGUGCUGGAUAUGGCAGCUCUAUUUUUAGAAGUCAGGGUUGCCAUGGCAACCCAGCGUAUUUUUUCUGUUAAAUAUAGCAGCUGUUGCAGGGAACUCUUGUCCUUCUGGAUGUAAAGGCUGUGUUUCUGCCCUCUGACAGAGCUCAGGGUAUUAGAGGCAGAUGAGAAAGGAUUAUUAAAUAAGUGGAAGCCCAGAAGAAACCGUGGAUCUGUAAUUACAUGGAGGGGUUUGGGAUGCAGCCGUGUGUGUCGGCAGCUUCUGCAUUGAAAAAUGUGUGGGAAUAGGGAUAGGGGAGCUUUUCCAUGUGGAGCUCCAUGAAAGCACCCUGCCCCUCUCUCUCCAGCUGCCCAGUCUGCCUGGCUUUGGCUAUUCUGGCCUCUUCCCCUUCCAGGAGCCAGUCUGGUCCCGGCUGUGCCCCCCAGGAUUUGUCUUGGCGGAGAUGGGGGGGGGUGCCAAACAGGCCUUGCCAACCAAGGGGAGGAAGGAGCCUUUUUUUGGGGGAAAAAAACAUUUUUAUUCCUACCUGCACCUCAGGAGCCUGAAGCAGAGGUGUGUGGUGCAGGGUUUGGGCCUGGAGCUGCCUCCAUCUCCUGCUGGUGAUGGACAUCUCAGUGGAAGCAGUGGGAGAGGUGCAGGUCCCAUCUCCUGUGGGGCCGGGCCAGGGAUGCGGUGUGGGAAUGCUGUGGGACUGUGUUGCAUCCUAAAGCAGUGACAUUCCCCAGCUUUGGGGUCCAGUGGCAAGAAAACUGACUCUGCUUCUUUAUUAUUUAAAUUUUAAAAAAAUGUACCGGGUCCCUGUAAGGUGUCAACACAUCUCAUCAAAGAGCUGGUUUCCAUCUCUAGGGAGGAGGGAGAAGGAGAGGGGUGGGGAGCACAAUUGCUCGGGCCAAGGGCAAUCUGUCAGCUGGGAGAUGGAGAUCUAUUUUUUAAUUAACUAGUCUUUGCCUCAUUAAAUGAAGAAAGAAACCAGAGCACAGCAGAUAUGAGCAUGGCUUACGUUCACUGAAAAUUUCCUUAAAAAGUUGAUGCAACAACAAACAAAGAACCAAA